Molecule: long non-coding RNA, 212 nt
Organism: Vigna unguiculata (cowpea)
Lineage: Eukaryota; Viridiplantae; Streptophyta; Magnoliopsida; Fabales; Fabaceae
Source: RefSeq, a predicted model, not a curated record
CAUUCAUAUAGUGGGGCGUCUUCGAGUUGUCCUUCUUAUACACAGUUACAAAAUCAGGUUUCUUCAUUAACAUCGCAAGUCAAUGAAAUGAAGGCAAUGAUGACUUUCUUUGUACAAAACUAUCAAGGAGAAUUGCCUCAUGACUUUCCUGUGUUUCAUUCAUCAUCGGUAUCUGAUCAGGGGAGUGUUCCCAAUGGAGAAGCAAAUGACUC